CAGGCUGCCCGAGCCUCCCGGAAGACAAGUCUCCCUUCCCAAAUGGUCAUACCCGAAAAUGAAGUGAACGUCCGCUGGCGACUUCGGGGUCCCCAGCUCCUCUCUGUGCCAAGGAGCCGCUCGGACCGCACACCGUAUCUGUCUUUCACUGGAAGUUGCAAAACGGUGAUAUCUUCCUUCCGUU
Mustela lutreola (European mink) is the source of this 184-nucleotide long non-coding RNA. RefSeq lists it as uncharacterized. The transcript has 2 exons. NCBI's taxonomy places the organism in Eukaryota, Metazoa, Chordata, Mammalia, Carnivora, Mustelidae. The record is from RefSeq and is a predicted model, not a curated record.